Long non-coding RNA from Lepisosteus oculatus (spotted gar), 838 nucleotides. RefSeq lists it as uncharacterized. NCBI's taxonomy places the organism in Eukaryota, Metazoa, Chordata, Actinopteri, Semionotiformes, Lepisosteidae. The record is from RefSeq and is a predicted model, not a curated record.
UGUACUUGAGUUUUUAUUUUAAUAAUGUUCAAGGGGAGAUAUGACGCUCUUCAGAAGUGACAGCUGGUGUGUGACAACUGAACCAGGUCAUGUGGUCCCGCAUAAUAUCCGCAUACACGUCUCAUAACAGAUCACCACCUGGCAGUGUCGGAGGAUUUUCCAAAAUGGGUUAAGCAUGGGGGAGAGGGAAAAGACCGCUGCAACCAGCUGUGUCGGUGGCAAGUGCUUAAUGCGGAUUCCCUCAGCAUGGCCACUGGUGAAAGGCAGCAGUAGCGGGGAACCGGAAACACAGACGUCCAUCAUUCCCGGAGAACACAGCGAGCUUUCCUUAGAUCACGCUUCUUAAAAAGAGCUGUGUGAAACCUAGAUGCGGAGAAUAAUGCUGGUUAUGGGAAUACCAUGCAUUCGGUGCCUCCUGUGUUUUAGCCCUCAAAUCAACCUUUGAACCCUCUUCAGGAAACGAAGCGAAAAUAAACGUAAAAGGAAAAGCUCCAAAAGCCCAUAACUUCAAAACCCAGCCACAUAAGAAGGCGAUGGGACCAGGCACUUCUUCGCCAGGCUUUCUACAGAUUGAAGUUGGGUCACUUCAACAAGUACGGAUGAAGUGCAGUUCAAUAGACCAGCCUUUGGCCUUUGAGAUUGAAUGACAGUUCGGUGACAACCCAAAGGUCAGGAAACAAACAGAAAACCAAACCUUCAUGCACAGAAGCAGAGGAAAGCAGUGUUACUGGGCCUCCCCAAUUAUUAAAGCUCAGCCAGCAGAAGCAUUUUUAUUAGCACAGCUCAUUCCGGCUCUCUUUUUCUCAAAGGACAUUUCAGUCACUUGUCAUGAUAUUGG